Molecule: ribosomal RNA, 378 nt
Filed under: Klebsiella pneumoniae
Lineage: Bacteria; Pseudomonadati; Pseudomonadota; Gammaproteobacteria; Enterobacterales; Enterobacteriaceae
Description: bacterial SSU rRNA
Rfam family: Bacterial small subunit ribosomal RNA
Source: RNAcentral
CAACCACCUACGGGUGGCAGCAGUGGGGAAUCUUGCACAAUGGGGGAAACCCUGAUGCAGCGACGCCGCGUGAGUGAUGAAGCCCUUCGGGGUGUAAAGCUCUUUCGGCAGGGACGAUAAUGACGGUACCUGCAGAAGAAGCUGCGGCUAACUACGUGCCAGCAGCCGCGGUAAUACGUAGGCAGCAAGCGUUGUUCGGAAUUACUGGGCGUAAAGAGUGCGUAGGCGGUUUGGCAAGUUUGGUGUGAAAUCUCCCGGCUUAACUGGGAGGGUGCGCCGAAAACUGCCAGGCUAGAGUGUGGGAGAGGAAAGCGGAAUUCCUGGUGUAGCGGUGAAAUGCGUAGAUAUCAGGAGGAACACCGGCGGUGUAGACGGCUU